GGGGGUGGCAUCUUUUAACUGCCCUGUGCUGUUUUCUUCUCUCGUUGUAAUAGCUACAGCGAACAUAAUUUCACCCCGUGAUUCCACCACGGUCUCAUCCGUCCUCAGCACCACACUCAUUGCUCCCCUUGCUCAGUUUCAUACUCAGCGCAGCCGUUCGCCUUCACUGCCCUGCCUAGGCGUUUUCAUGGUUGUCUUAUAUUCUUUUACUUUGAAUAUCGUGGUUUAAUAGCAGUUGCCGGUGUGCUAAAUUCCUCAUUUCCUUAAGAGAAACUCCUGGGAGGAUGGAAUUAAAGACGUUGCAAAUUUAAUUAUACCACAAACAGGAAUCAAAAUUUUGCAUUAAAAUGCCAGACAUCUUGAAAAAUUUAACUAUUCAAUAAAA
This 385-nucleotide long non-coding RNA is filed under the name Rattus norvegicus (Norway rat). Its description in RNAcentral is "long non-coding RNA NONRATT018633". The record is from RNAcentral. Lineage: Eukaryota; Metazoa; Chordata; Mammalia; Rodentia; Muridae.